RNAcentral lists this ribosomal RNA (254 nucleotides) under uncultured bacterium. RNAcentral's name for it is "partial 16S ribosomal RNA". It matches the Rfam family "Bacterial small subunit ribosomal RNA", at positions 524 to 776 of the family's 1533-position model. The record is from RNAcentral.
UACGGAGGGUGCGAGCGUUGUCCGGAAUCAUUGGGCGUAAAGGGCGCGUAGGUGGCGGGACAAGCGUGCGGUGAAAGCUCGGGGCUCAACCCCGGGUCGGCCGUGCGAAGCUGUUUUGCUUGAGCACUGUAGAGGCAGGCGGAAUUCCGGGUGUAGCGGUGGAAUGCGUAGAGAUCCGGAAGAACACCGGUGGCGAAGGCGGCGACCUGGUCCGAUACUGACGCUGAGGCGCGAAAGCGUGGGGAGCAAACAGG